UCCGUAGGUGAACCUGCGGAGGGAUCAUUACAGAGUUGCAAAACUCCCCAAACCAUUGUGAACCUUACCUUCUACCGUUGCUUCGGCGGGCGGGCCACAGCGCCCCCCGGGCCCCCUCGGGGGCGCCCGCCGGAGGAUAACCAAACUCUUGAUAUUCAUGGCCUCUCUGAGUCUUCUGUACUGAAUAAGUCAAAACUUUCAACAACGGAUCUCUUGGUUCUGGCAUCGAUGAAGAACGCAGCGAAAUGCGAUAAGUAAUGUGAAUUGCAGAAUUCAGUGAAUCAUCGAAUCUUUGAACGCACAUUGCGCCCGCCAGUAUUCUGGCGGGCAUGCCUGUUCGAGCGUCAUUUCAACCAUCAAGCCCCCGGCUUGUGUUGGGGACCUGCGGCUGCCCGCAGGCCCUGAAAACCAGUGGCGGGCUCGCUGUCACACCGAGCGUAGUAGCAACAUCUCGCUCAGGGCGUGCUGCGGGUUCCGGCCGUUAAAAGCCUUUUACACCCAAGGUUGACCUCGGAUCAGGUAGGAAGACCCGCUGAACUUAAGCAUAUCAAUAAGCGGAGGA
This is a ribosomal RNA of 562 nucleotides. The stretch from base 194 to 347 matches the Rfam family "5.8S ribosomal RNA".